UUCUUCAGGGCGGGGUGAAAUUCCCCACCGGCGGUAUAGUCCGCGAGCAGAAAUGCAUGAACCGGUGAAACUCCGGUACCGACGGUAUAGUCCGGAUGAAAGAAGAA
Molecule: non-coding RNA, 107 nt
Filed under: bovine gut metagenome
Description: FMN riboswitch (RFN element)
Rfam family: FMN riboswitch aptamer (RFN element)
About the family: The RFN element is a highly conserved domain that is found frequently in the 5'-untranslated regions of prokaryotic mRNAs that encode for flavin mononucleotide (FMN) biosynthesis and transport proteins. This element is a metabolite-dependent riboswitch that directly binds FMN in the absence of proteins.
Source: RNAcentral